AGUGGCGAACGGGUGAGUAAUAUAUCGGAACGUGCCCAGUCGCGGGGGAUAACGUAGCGAAAGUUACGCUAAUACCGCAUACGAUCUACGGAUGAAAGCGGGGGACCGUAAGGCCUCGCGCGAUUGGAGCGGCCGAUAUCAGAUUAGGUAGUUGGUGGGGUAAAGGCUCACCAAGCCAACGAUCUGUAGCUGGUCUGAGAGGACGACCAGCCACACUGGAACUGAGACACGGUCCAGACUCCUACGGGAGGCAGCAGUGGGGAAUUUUGGACAAUGGACGCAAGUCUGAUCCAGCCAUUCCGCGUGCAGGAUGAAGGCCCUCGGGUUGUAAACUGCUUUUGUACGGAACGAAAAGGUCUCUAUUAAUACUAGGGGCUCAUGACGGUACCGUAAGAAUAAGCACCGGCUAACUACGUGCCAGCAGCCGCGGUAAUACGUAGGGUGCAAGCGUUAAUCGGAAUUACUGGGCGUAAAGCGUGCGCAGGCGGUUAUGUAAGACAGAGGUGAAAUCCCCGGGCUCAACCUGGGAACUGCCUUUGUGACUGCAUAGCUAGAGUACGGUAGAGGGGGAUGGAAUUCCGCGUGUAGCAGUGAAAUGCGUAGAUAUGCGGAGGAACACCGAUGGCGAAGGCAAUCCCCUGGACCUGUACUGACGCUCAUGCACGAAAGCGUGGGGAGCAAACAGGAUUAGAUACCCUGG
RNAcentral lists this ribosomal RNA (700 nucleotides) under uncultured beta proteobacterium. RNAcentral describes it as "bacterial SSU rRNA". It matches the Rfam family "Bacterial small subunit ribosomal RNA", at positions 94 to 790 of the family's 1533-position model. The record is from RNAcentral. Lineage: Bacteria; Pseudomonadati; Pseudomonadota; Betaproteobacteria.